Non-coding RNA from Acanthosepion pharaonis, 108 nucleotides. The record is from the annotation of a GenBank genome assembly. Lineage: Eukaryota; Metazoa; Mollusca; Cephalopoda; Sepiida; Sepiidae.
ACCAUAACAUGUUGAAACACCGGUUCUCAUAUGAUCACCAAAGUUAAGCAACAUCAAUCCUGGUCAGUAACUAGAUGGGUGACCACUUGGAAAUACUAGGUGCUGUAG